This 517-nucleotide ribosomal RNA is filed under the name uncultured bacterium. RNAcentral describes it as "bacterial SSU rRNA". It matches the Rfam family "Bacterial small subunit ribosomal RNA", at positions 9 to 526 of the family's 1533-position model. The record is from RNAcentral.
GAGUUUGAUCCUGGCUCAGGAUGAACGCUGGCGGCGUGCUUAACACAUGCAAGUCGAGCGAAGCACUUAGGAAAGAUUCUUCGGAUGAUUUCCUAUUUGACUGAGCGGCGGACGGGUGAGUAACGCGUGGGUAACCUGCCCUGUACAGGGGGAUAACAGUUGGAAACGGCUGCUAAUACCGCAUAAGCGCACAGCAUCGCAUGAUGCAGUGUGAAAAACUCCGGUGGUAUAAGAUGGACCCGCGUUGGAUUAGCUAGUUGGCAGGGCAGCGGCCUACCAAGGCGACGAUCCAUAGCCGGCCUGAGAGGGUGAACGGCCACAUUGGGACUGAGACACGGCCCAGACUCCUACGGGAGGCAGCAGUGGGGAAUAUUGCACAAUGGGGGAAACCCUGAUGCAGCGACGCCGCGUGGAGGAAGAAGGUCUUCGGAUUGUAAACUCCUGUUGUUGGGGAAGAUAAUGACGGUACCCAACAAGGAAGUGACGGCUAACUACGUGCCAGCCGCCGCGGUAAUUC